AUAAGCAUAAAAAAAAUAAUUUUAUUUGAGGAUAAAAUACAAUCAAUUUUUUUAGUAACAUUUAUUUAAAAAAUUAUAAUCAAUUAUUUUGAUACAGUGGUUAACUUUAUUUUCAUAUAUAAUAAUACAUAUAAGAUUCUAACAAACAUGUAUAUUUAUAAAUAAAAACGACAGUUUCAGAUUAUCUAUUUUAAAAUAUUUAACUAUAAUGAAUAAAGUUAUUUCUUUUAUAUCCUGUAAAGCAUUAGUUUUAAGAAAAAAUUAUAAAGAAAAAGGAAAAAGAAUAUUUCAUGAAGCAAAUAUAUAAAUGAAACAGCAAUAACUUUAUUUUACUUAUUCUUUAUUAAAUUAAAAUAAACAUUGAAAGAAACUAAAUAAGUAUAAUUUAAGAUAUUAUAAUAAGUAUCCAUCAUAUAAAUUCGAAAAUGAAUAUUAAAAAAAUAUUGUGAAAAAUUUAUGAAAAAUGCUAUUCUUAGUCAAAAUAUAUCAAAAAAAUUUAAAAUACAAUUAUUAUAAUAACUUGAUUUAUUUGCCCGCCCGUAGGGCGGGUUUACCCUAGUGUAUUAUAAAACGGUUUUUUUUUGUCAAAGCAUUGUUUUCACUACAAUUUAUUUUUAAAAAAAAAACUUUCAAAAUUUUAGGGGGAAAAUUCUAUAUUAUUUGAUUGAUAAUGAAAACUUAAUGUGUCAUUUGUGAAAAAAAAUUAGAAAUUACAUCCUGUCAUUAAUUGAUUGUUAGAGAUUGUAUAUUUCUUUUGUCUUGACACUUUUGAUCAUUUAGUUCUACUUAUCAAUCUUGUAAUAAAGCAAUUUUCCCUCUCUUAUUUUCAUGUUUUCUAAAGCAGUUUUCUCUCUCGUUUUUUCUUUCUAAAAUCAACAUCAGAUUUGCCUUUUUGUUUUCUACCUAGAUUUUUCUUACUUGCUUUUAUGUUUUUGUUUCCUUUGAUUCUUUUGCUUGUUUUAAUUUCUUCUUUGCUUUUACUGGAUAAGAGACAUUUCUGCUAGUGGGAAAGGGAAUGAUGUUAAUAAUGUAAAGAGGAUCAAAGUUUAUAUGGACAAGGUUGAGCUAGAGCAUUCAAACAUAUGUGUUGAUAUAAUUGAACUGAUAUAUGUGCACCCGCUGCAACGUCACUGGACAAACAUGUUUCAAGAAUAACUGAACUUGCGGUGAAUAUUGUAGAGUUCCUCUGUUUCAUGUAUCAUUAUUGUGUAUGAUGAUGUACUCUGGUUUGACCGUUUGAGUGUAUUGCAUCAUCCUGAUGCAUGUCUCAGACACUGUCUCCUUGUUUGUAAUUUGAAACUCAUUACUGUCUUCAGACACUGUCUACUUUCUUACCAUUUGUCAUGGAUCCAAAUGUAAAGUGAUAAUAACCUCUAAAAGUUUAUGUAAUUUUUUUUUUGUUAAAAUUAAAAGAUAAUAAUUUGUUGAA
Molecule: long non-coding RNA, 1429 nt
Organism: Brassica napus (rape)
Lineage: Eukaryota; Viridiplantae; Streptophyta; Magnoliopsida; Brassicales; Brassicaceae
Exons: 2
Source: RefSeq, a predicted model, not a curated record